Long non-coding RNA from Dermacentor andersoni, 826 nucleotides. RefSeq lists it as uncharacterized. The record is from RefSeq and is a predicted model, not a curated record. NCBI's taxonomy places the organism in Eukaryota, Metazoa, Arthropoda, Arachnida, Ixodida, Ixodidae.
UUUAUUUUUUCUGACAGGAAGAAAAAAAAGAAGAGCUUUAUAUGAGAACAGAUUAGGCGUUCCAGAGUGGGGACCGGGAAAUGAAACACUGGAACGACACUGCUUAAAUUGGAGCAUAGUGAGCGAAUGACCUGCUACGCUCGGAACUGUUAUCACCAUUUGGAAUGAAAUCAGGUGCUCGGUCCACUCAUCGCGUGUCUUUUCCUUCCUGGACUGGCGACUACGCCACUGACCGCACCUUCAUGUUUGCCAACCCUUCUCAGCGUGGAGAUGUCAGGCACCCGUCAACGAGCCACUGCCAACGCUUCACCCGUCUUUGAAACAACGACACACUUGUCCUUGGAUUACCCGCCCCUCGCAGCAGAAUGGGAAGCGCCAUCGCAUCCGACAUCACUACUAGGGCCAGCUAUAAAACAGGAGCAGCCACACGUGGCACCAGGCAUAGAGUUUCCUACAAAAGUUUUUGUAGGAAACUCUAUGGCACCAGGCCCCGCACACUCUCAAGUUCUAGCGAUCGCCACAAAGGGCGAAAAAUCAACAGCCGUGCGUUCCAGCAUAAGCGCGUAAGUGGAGCUGCUGUAAAUUGGUCGCAUAAUUUAACUUGUAUUUUUUCUGCUAGGGGCGCUCAACGCGGCUCAAUAUUUGAUCUACAAAUGUACACAUAAUAACCGUCAAACAUGGUUAACGUGUAACUUUCUGCAAAAUAAAGAGACAAUUUUUUUUUAUUAAACUUACUUUAUUAAAUCGUGUGCUUUAUUACUUGAAUAAAGGUUUUGAAACCUCACUGACGUGUGAUAAGCAGCAGCCCACUGGUAUCGAUUGCAGU